This 75-nucleotide transfer RNA is filed under the name Paenibacillus thalictri. RNAcentral's name for it is "Paenibacillus sp. N2SHLJ1 tRNA-Thr". It matches the Rfam family "tRNA". From Rfam's summary of the family: Transfer RNA (tRNA) molecules are approximately 80 nucleotides in length. Their secondary structure includes four short double-helical elements and three loops (D, anti-codon, and T loops). The record is from RNAcentral. Lineage: Bacteria; Bacillati; Bacillota; Bacilli; Caryophanales; Paenibacillaceae.
GCCGUCGUAGCUCAGGGGUAGAGCAACGCACUCGUAAUGCGUAGGCCGGAGGUUCAAUUCCUCUCGACGGCACCA